AUUUUCUUAGUAUAAUGUACAGGUAACUUCCAAUUACCAAGACUCGGCUAAAUUCCGGGAGAAAGUA
RNAcentral lists this transfer RNA (67 nucleotides) under Amolops sengae. RNAcentral describes it as "tRNA-Gly". The record is from RNAcentral. Lineage: Eukaryota; Metazoa; Chordata; Amphibia; Anura; Ranidae.